RNAcentral lists this ribosomal RNA (568 nucleotides) under Calocera lutea. RNAcentral describes it as "eukaryotic LSU rRNA". It matches the Rfam family "Eukaryotic large subunit ribosomal RNA", at positions 73 to 664 of the family's 3401-position model. Lineage: Eukaryota; Fungi; Basidiomycota; Dacrymycetes; Dacrymycetales; Dacrymycetaceae. The record is from RNAcentral.
GAUUCCCUAGUACUGCGAGUGAAGCGGGAAAAGCUCAAAUUUGAAAUCUGGCGCAAGCCCGAGUUGUAAUCUAGAGAAGCGUUUUCGGCCGUUGCCUCGGACAAGUCCCUUGGAACAGGGCGUCAUAGAGGGUGAGAAUCCCGUCCUUGCCGAGCAACCAACGUCCUUGUGAUGCGCUCUCGAAGAGUCGAGUUGUUUGGGAAUGCAGCUCAAAAUGGGUGGUAAAUUCCAUCUAAAGCUAAAUAUUGGCGAGAGACCGAUAGCGAACAAGUACCGUGAGGGAAAGAUGAAAAGCACUUUGGAAAGAGAGUUAAACAGUACGUGAAAUUGCUGAAAGGGAAGCGCUUGAAGUCAGUCGCGUCUGCAGGGACUCAGCCUUAACCGGUGCAUUUCCUUGUCGACGGGCCAACAUCGAUUUAGCGCGUAGGAAAAGGGCUCGAGGAAUGUGGCAGCCUCGGCUGUGUUAUAGCCUCUUGUCGUACACUACGGGUUGGAUCGAGGACCGCGGCUUCGUGCCUAGGAUGUUGGCGUAAUGGCUUUAAGCGACCCGUCUUGAAACACGGGACCA